Non-coding RNA from Pelobates cultripes (western spadefoot toad), 106 nucleotides. The record is from the annotation of a GenBank genome assembly. Lineage: Eukaryota; Metazoa; Chordata; Amphibia; Anura; Pelobatidae.
UUCUCUCUGCACGAGAGAUACAGCAACCCCAGAUGAUCGUUUCAGCCUUGUUAGGCAUCGUCAGUGAGGCAUAGCUGGGGUUGCUGUAUCUCUCGUGCAUAGAGAA